Sciurus carolinensis (gray squirrel) is the source of this 4403-nucleotide long non-coding RNA. RefSeq lists it as uncharacterized. The transcript is spliced from 3 exons. The record is from RefSeq and is a predicted model, not a curated record. Lineage: Eukaryota; Metazoa; Chordata; Mammalia; Rodentia; Sciuridae.
GUGUGCGUGCGUGUGCUGCGUGUUGAUCUGGGUUAGGACGGAACUGGCUUCCGCCAAAGCUGACCAGAAAGCUGCCAGCCCAGCCCCCACCUGUCCUCCCUUCCAAGCAAGGACAGCUGGGCCACCUGUCUGCUUCCUCCAACCUGGCCCACCCCCAGCCCACCAGGACCAAAGCCUCUUGUUUUCCCCUGGCUGGGCCUGAGGGCACCGGCCAACAAAGGGGCCUGCUGCUGCCAUCCACAGAAAGCGCCUGCCUCCCACUCUAGGACCCAGGUCCCUACUGAGGCUGGAUCCAACGGGCUUAUGCACGGGGACGGGACCUGGCAGAGCAGCUCAGGAAGGUUCCAGUGGAGGAGCACACCGCACCAGGCUCCGCCAACCUGGGAGAAGGAGAAAUAACCAUGGAAGAUGGAAGUGGCCCCGUGCAAUCACCCUGCCACCAGGGCUGGCUGCCCCGGGGGGCGGUGUCCUGUCUGGACAGUCAUAUGUGGAGCGGGCCAGUUUCUUCCUCUGUCGGCUGGACACAGGGACCCCCACGGGUGAGGAGUCCAUGCAGUGAUGGGCGUCAUUAGCUCGUGCCCCAGGACCCGCUCACGUCUGCCGGCGUGGCUGAUGAGGGGGCCGUGCCGCGUGGGGAAGUUCUCAGCCUGUGGGGCUGGUGGACACCGAUCGAGGUGGCAGCUGGGAUCACACGGGGACUUCGCGCCCCCCGUUUGCACUGGGUCUCACCUGAGGCCCAACAGCGAGGCAGAAGCUGGGUCUCCCCAGGAGACUCCGUAUUGCCAGAAGAGGACGGGACUCCACUCCGCGGUCCCAGCCGUCUGCACCUGCAGGAGCCGCCAUGGCGCCCACACACCAUCCCAUGCCCAGACUCUUCGGGGUCCUGCGUCUGCCGGGCCAGCAGGGCUGGAGGGUGCCACGGCUGCCCACAGCCUUCUCUCCUUCCACGCCUGCUCAGAACCAGCCUAGGGGAGCAGGACACCAGGCGGAAGAGCACCCCAAGGCGCGCAUCCGAAGAGACCCGGGAGCCGCCGGCCGGGCGGAGGCGCCUGGUGCAGCAGGUGCUUCCUCUUAGCGGGGGCGGCUCACGCGUGCUCACGGUCCCUGGCAAUGUCCCUGAGGUGCCCCGACACGCCCGUGUCGCGCCAGGUCUCCCCGGUGUUCGUGACUUCUGGCUCAUUAGGCCCGAGCCUCACCACGCUGCUGCCGCUGCCGCCGCCCUGCUGUCCAAGGGGUACUUCCGAGACCCCUCGAGGACCGACGCCAGCGAAAGACGAACAACGACAAUCAUAAAACAGAGGCCUGACGGUGUCCUGCCGUACAGGAGCCGAGGACCAGGCCCUUCCUGCGAUCGCCCGCUGGGCCUCCCGGCAGCAGGCAAGCGCCCUCCGCGGGCCGCACCUCCCACCUGUGACACUUCACCCCUCCUGUGACAGCGUGAGUUAGUGCCCCGUCCGUGUGAUGAGACCAGGUGAGGUGGGGGACGCGGGGGACUGUAGGGUCCCUGAACACCAGCACCGUGACGCCACCAUGGUGGGUCUGACCGCUGCAGGGACUGUGGGCCAGGUUCCGUCACUGUGACAGGACGCCUGAGGAAAUGAAUAGAGGAAAAGGGUCGUCCUGGCUCGAGCUUCAGAGGCUGCAUCCACGGGCGCCUGACCUGUUGCUCUGGGCCUGUGGGGCUGUGGCCCAGCACGGCAAGAGCUCAGGGCAGAGGCGGCCAACCGCCUGCCUCACGGUGGCUGAAAAGCAGGGCAGAGAUAGGAAGGGAGCAGCGUCCUAAGAGCCCUCAAGGCACGUCCCCAAGGUCCUGACUUCUUCCCCCCGGGCCCCACAUCCUGGGGUUCCACCACCUUCCGACUGUGCCACCAUCCAAUGACAAGCCUUCAGCGCACGGGCUUUCUGGGGACAAGUCAUAGCAGUGACUAACGGGCAGGGCGUGUACACAGGUCAGAUACGCUGGACAAAGGGAUGGCGCCCGUUCCAGGCGGGCGGAGCAGCGUGAACUUUCGGCAUGCUACUCUGAAGGGCGGAUGGUUGAGAGCUUGUGGAUCAUUUACCGGAAUUUUCCACGUCGUAUUUGUGGACCAUGGUUUUCUGAAGUAAUGAGUACAGAGAACAGAAAUUGCCAGGUGUUGGAAGCUGUGUUGAUUUUCUCCAUUAAGGGUACUACAUCCAAGCCGAGUGAGGUGGCGCACGCUUGUAAUCCCAGUGACUUGGGAGGCCGAGGCAGGAGGAUGGCAAGUUUGAGGCCAACCUCAGCAACUGAGUGAGACUCUGUCUCAAAAUAAGAAGAUCUGGGGAUGUCGCUGAGUCAUAGAGCGCCCUGGGUUCGAUCCUUAGAACAGCAAAACAAAGCAAAGCAAGGGCCACCUGCCCCAGGAGAGCACAUGAAACUGGACUCGUCUUACCAAGUUUACGAUGUGACUUUUGGUUUCUAUUUCGAGAGAGAGAGAGAGGCAGUCCUGGUGGCUUCUGCCUAGCCAUUUCUGCAGAACGGCCCCCCUCUACCCAUCAGGGAGCCACGGUGAGGACGCUGCCAACCGCCGAGCUGUCUAUUUCACUCUGCUUUGUGGGACCAGGUGGGGCGGCCUGGUCACAGGUGACUCCAGCGCCCGCUGAGCCUCCGUGAGACGGGUCAGAGUGCAGCCCGUCCACGGCUGGGCCUCUCCAGCCCCCUCUGACUGCCGCUCCUGUGGGGACUCGUGCCAGCUGGAGUCGAUACCGGCUCAGGCCUGGUGCACCCCCAAAUCUGAGUACUUCCUUUCUCUGGCCACCCGUCCCAGAUGAUGGCCCCAGUUCUCUGCGGCAGGCGGGGAGAUGGUGCACACUCAGUGGUGGCAGCAGGACCAGGUCCUUCCUCAAGGAGACCCGGCCUCCCCUUCACCCCGGGGCUCUGGAUGAACUCCGGGCGUUGGCCGAGGGGCCGCGGGUGUCCGCUGGGCCUAUCAGGUGGGGCAUUGAGGCAGCAGGUGUGGUGAGCUGCUUAUUCAAAUCGAGGACCACCCGGGUUGAGCCGUGUGGAAUGGAGUUUGCAAGCCGUCACCAGCCAUCCAGGGACGAUCUGGGACACUCGGGAGGGAGAGCCCAGGACAUACUCAAACUCCUCGCCAUUUCACACGCGGGACCUGAGCGCCGGGAUCUCCCAUGGAUCCGGGGACGCCUGUGAGGCCUUGCGAGGGGGCCGCUCCCAGGCCUGGAGAGAUGGUCCCCGGGUCUCGACCCGGCGUGUUGCUCGGCAGGGAGGGCUGGGCACAAGGGGCCCCCCGCCAGGCCCUCCAGUGCAGCCGUGGCCCCCGUGGGAGUCCUCGCCAGCAGGUCUCUUGCCGUGGCUGCGGCUGUGGUCCCUGGACGUGGCUCCCGUGGCACUGGCUCCCUGCGCCUGGGGUGAUGGUUUCAGGGGCUGUUUUGACAGCCGGGUGGCGAGUCCCUGGGUCCCUUCUCUGCGGCCGCGGGAUCCGUGCCUUUGCCUGUGGUCGGCCAGUUGGCAGCUUCCGGGAACUCUUCUCCAGGUUUUCUUCUCCCGGCCCCACUUCUGUCCCUGCCAUGUGGGCUGCAACCGGAAAGCAGCCACUAGGUCUUGCUGAAGCCAGGGGCUUGCUGUAGGGGGUCCAGGGUGCAGGAGUCCAGGUCUGGGCAUCUGCAGCCAGAGGACCCAGGAAGACGGUCAUCACGCACUUUGCAUGAGGGCCGGCCACCACAGACACCCAGGGGAGACUCAGCGGGGUGCUCAGAGCCAAGUCCCUCCGCACGGGGCAGGGCGGAAGCUAAGGCAGAGCCGUGUGAGGGGUGGCCUUGCCGUGGUUUCUGGCUGACUUAGGCCUCACGAAUCUUUCGAAAGCCCCUCUCACCAGGGCCACAGCGCGGAGGGCAUCCUGGGUCGUCCUGGCCAUGUCAGAGGGGGUCCUGGGGGCCCUGACGGUCACGCCCUCUCCGCCUCUGUUCUGGGUCGGUGUGGAGGACCUUGGCGUCUGCGGUCCUGUGGCGCCUCGGACCCGGCCCCUCAAACGGUGCCUGGCCCCCCGGGUCGCCCUCACCAACAGGCGUCCGACUGAGCAGUGCGGCUCUUUCACACGUCUUCCAAGGCUCUGUAUUUCAGGAAGAUGUUCUGGAAUCCUGUUCUUUGGGUCUGCCCAUGGCUUUGGUCUCCUCCGGGGAUGACUCGCUGUCUUCUGUGCCUGGUUGUCCCCCUCGAUGCUUGUGUUUGGUCUCAGUGCUUCUUUCCUGUUUGAACCCCUCCUGAUCUCCAUGGUCUGUCUCUUUCUUUGCCAUUACUUGUAGUAAUUAUCUGCUUUUAUGCUCUUUUUCAUUUUUGUUUUCUUUUCAUUUUUCGUACCAGGGAUGGAACCCAGGGGUGCUUAACAACUGAGCCACAUCCCGGUCCUCCUUAUUUUUUAUUUUGA